AUCCUUUUGUCAUUCAUAAGCAUGACGAUUGGGCUUUCAUGCUCAUGCAUGAGAUGGGCCUCCCUUCGGUCUUGUUACAGGCCAGCUCUGUGGCUCAUGCCUAUAAUC
Nomascus leucogenys (northern white-cheeked gibbon) is the source of this 108-nucleotide small nucleolar RNA. It matches the Rfam family "Small nucleolar RNA U13". The record is from Rfam. Lineage: Eukaryota; Metazoa; Chordata; Mammalia; Primates; Hylobatidae.